Molecule: long non-coding RNA, 1537 nt
Organism: Bubalus bubalis (water buffalo)
Lineage: Eukaryota; Metazoa; Chordata; Mammalia; Artiodactyla; Bovidae
Exons: 2
Source: RefSeq, a predicted model, not a curated record
GCUCUGAGGCACAUGGGAUCUUCCUGGACCAGGGAUUGAAUCCAUGUCCCAGGCUUUGGCAGGUGGAUUCCCAACCACUGGACCACCAGGGAAGUCCCAACAUUGACCACCUUUUCAUGUGACCAUCAGCCAUUUGAAUGUCUUCUUUGGAGAUAAGUUUGAAUUAUUUGUCCAUUUUAAAAUGGUUGGUGGGUUGUUUUUUUUUUGUCUCUUUGUUGUUGGGUUUUAAAAAGUUUAUCUUUUUAAAGGAUGGGGAACACAUGUACACCCGUGGCGGAUUCAAAAAAAGAAAAAAAAUAAAUAAAAAGUUUAUCUGUAUUAACUACUGGAUUUCUGAAAAAUAUUGCAUCUAAAAACAAAGAUUUACUGAUAAAUGAAGGCUGGGACCUGUUGCAGCCUUUUUAUGUCACAUACAGAGAAAUAGAGGCCCAUGAGUUAAACUACACUGUAAGUAGCAAAACCGAGUCUGUCUGACUGCUUGCCUCACCUCCUCCGAUGUCACUCAGCACUUGGAAUGGGCAGCACGCAGGUGCGGGCUCUGUGAGGAACUACACAUGCAAAAACAAACCCUGUCCUUCAAAGACUUGCAGCUGGCAGAGCUGGGAGUUGAGGGGGUAUAGUGAGAAGUUCCCUGUAAUUGAGGAAGGGAGAGAGUGGUGGCAAACAAGGCUAGAUUCUGAAGGAUUUGAAUGCCAAUAAAUUGGAGGUUUUAGCCUGGAGACCCCCAAGUCACAAAUUCAAGCACCCUCCUGGGACCGCAGGUGGUAUAAAUGUGAAUAAUCGGGGUAAAGCAGUAGGGAGUGGAGGGGGCCUGUGGCUAACCAGAGUGCUCGCCCAGCCUAAAGGCAGAUUCCAAGAUUGCUGGUUACAGCAUAUUCAGACUGACGUCAGUUUGGGGGGUUCCAGAGAUUUUGGGCGCCCUUUAAGUACCAUGUUAGCUGCAUCUCCCACGUCCUGAUGCCCUAUUGGACACCUACACGCUGCUUCAGACUUUCAUGGUCCUUCUCCAGCUGCUGCCAACACUUCUGCCAGGACCACCCCACCCCCCAGAGCGGGCAUCCAGGCUUGAGAACGCCGGGGCUGCACACUCCGUAAAUCACAGCCGUGGGGUCACAGCGCUUCUGCAGCAUUCUGUCGUCAGUACAAGUCACGGGGUCAGCCAGAUUCAAGAGAAAGGGGAAUAGACCUGACCUCUUGUCAGAGAGCGACAAAGAAUUUUCUGUUCUUUUCCAUCCACCAUCACAAUGACUAUAUGGCCCAUUUAGUCUACCUAUAUAAAGUUCAAAACAGACAAGACGAAUCUACAGCAAUAGAUAUGUGAAUAGUGGUUGCUUCUGGGGGCUGGGGCUGGGGCUGGACUGAAAAAGAGUACAAGGGAUUUUCUCGGGCGCAGACAAGACUACAGUGAUUGGGGGGGGUAUCAGUUACAUGGAUGUAUAUGUAUUUGUCAAAACUCACCAAACUGGACACUUAAGAGCUGUGGGUUUUAGUGUAUAAAAUUAUACCUUAAUAAAUAAACAGGCAACAACAAAUACUA